UACGGAGGGAGCUAGCGUUGUUCGGAAUUACUGGGCGUAAAGCGCACGUAGGCGGCUGUUCAAGUCAGUGGUGAAAGCCCGGAGCUCAACUUCGGAACUGCCUUUGAAACUAGACAGCUAGAAUCCUGGAGAGGUGAGUGGAAUUCCGAGUGUAGAGGUGAAAUUCGUAGAUAUUCGGAAGAACACCAGUGGCGAAGGCGGCUCACUGGACAGGUAUUGACGCUGAGGUGCGAAAGCGUGGGGAGCAAACAGGAUUAGAAACCCCAGUAGUCC
RNAcentral lists this ribosomal RNA (273 nucleotides) under uncultured bacterium. RNAcentral describes it as "partial 16S ribosomal RNA". It matches the Rfam family "Bacterial small subunit ribosomal RNA", at positions 524 to 796 of the family's 1533-position model. The record is from RNAcentral.